This 1311-nucleotide ribosomal RNA is filed under the name Fumagopsis stellae. RNAcentral describes it as "partial 28S ribosomal RNA". It matches the Rfam family "Eukaryotic large subunit ribosomal RNA", at positions 66 to 1416 of the family's 3401-position model. The record is from RNAcentral. Lineage: Eukaryota; Fungi; Ascomycota; Eurotiomycetes; Chaetothyriales; Chaetothyriaceae.
CAACAGGGAUUGCCCUAGUAACGGCGAGUGAAGCGGCAAAAGCUCAAAUUUGAAAUCUGGCUCUUUCAGAGUCCGAGUUGUAAUUUGUAGAGGAUGUUUCGGAUACUGCCCCAGGUUAAAUUUCUUGGAACAGAAUGUCACAGAGGGUGAGAACCCCGUCUUGACUUGGGUGUAAGGUCCAUGUGAAACUCCUUCGACGAGUCGAGUUGUUUGGGAAUGCAGCUCAAAAUGGGUGGUAAAUUUCAUCUAAAGCUAAAUAUUGGCCAGAGACCGAUAGCGCACAAGUAGAGUGAUCGAAAGAUGAAAAGCACUUUGAAAAGAGAGUUAAACAGUAUGUGAAAUUGUUGAAAGGGAAGCGCUUGCAACCAGACUUGAGUGCCUCAGUUCCCCCUUCCUUUUGGUUGGGUUAUUCUGUGGUAUCCAGGCCAACAUCGGUUCUGAGGGCUGGUCAAAGGCUCUGGGAAUGUAUCUACCCUUCGGGGUCGACUUAUAGCCCAGGGUGUCAUGCAGCCUCUUGGGACCGAGGAACGCGCUUCGGCUCGGAUGUUGGCGUAAUGGUUGUCAGCGACCCGUCUUGAAACACGGACCAAGGAGUCUAACAUCUAUGCGAGUGUUAGGGUGUCAAACCCUUACGCGGAAUGAAAGUGAACGGAGGUAGGAAGCCUUAAGGCUGCACUAUCGACCGAUCCUGAAGUUUACGGAUGGAUUUGAGUAAGAGCAUAGCUGUUGGGACCCGAAAGAUGGUGAACUAUGCGUGAAUAGGGUGAAGCCAGAGGAAACUCUGGUGGAGGCUCGCAGCGGUUCUGACGUGCAAAUCGAUCGUCAAAUUUGCGUAUAGGGGCGAAAGACUAAUCGAACCAUUGUGUUUAUAAGGGGGGUUCAUGCAUCCUUGCGUGCCCCCGGCUACCUGGUGGUUAAGAGCCGUGCCCAAAAGGUAUGGCUAGUGACCUGAUUCUGUUGCGAUACCGUCAAAUUGCGGGGACGUCCUAAAGAUCUCAACCCCAAGCCUACGUCGAAAGAUUUAGGUGGCCGAGCUCAUCACUCGGGUACGGGAACAGCUUGAGAUAUGAGGCCUCACCAGGCCGAAAUGGAUAAUCCGCAGCCAAGUCCUACCGCCUCCGGGCCACGGACGCAGUUCACAGACUAAAUGUCGGUAGGUCUCAUGGACAUGUCCAUGAGGCUUGAGUUAUAGUCGGUCCCUGGAGAGAAAUUCCAGCGCGUACGCUAAAUCUUCUAGGCGAGAAUCACAUGCCCUAGGCAUGAGCCUGAAGACCUGAACGACGCGGUUGUGCUCCCUACGAACGAGUGCAG